CGUCACGUGACGUUUGUGUCUCCCUCUUCUUCUUCUUCCCUACCUCGGAUACUUCCACAUGCCGACCCGCCACAGCGGUACCUACCGCGCCCAGGAGCAGAGGGACCUCCUCCGGCCGCGGCUCAUGCUCGAGCACGGGUACUCGGCGUUGCCGCCGCUGGUGGCCGCCGGCCUCGUGGAGCGGUCUUUGGGGAAGCCACUCUAGGGCCACGAGCUUCUGCCGCCAGACUGCGAAAUGGUUAGGGCGCGGUAACGUUCCGUAUAAGAGGCGUUUGUGUUCGGGCCCGAAGAUCCUCGUCCGUCGGAGCUCCUCAGCCGCUACCACCUACAUACCCAGCUGCACCUACGGGUGGUCGACCUCGGGCAUGAGUUCGGGUAGCACACCUUGACGUAGUAGUUGGGCAAGCAGCCCUCCCUGCAGCUGGUCCCGGAGCAGCUACUCUCGCAGCUCUUCGAGUUCUUCGACGACCUCCACAUGCUCCGUUCUGACAGUUCGUUGUUCAUGAACCGGCCCCUAAAGCAGUCGAAGCGGCUGGAGUGGGUAAAGAGGAAGUACGCGAUGAAGUACCGCUGCCUCGUACGCCAACACGAGCUACGCAUAGGCGUACACUUCCGUACCACCUUCCGCGACGACCGUUCCGGUAGCCAGUUCUUCCACUAUCGACCGUACGGAGGCCUAAAACCUAAGCCCUCGCCCUCUUAUGGUACUAUUUCGUACGAACAAACAGAUACUACGAGACUAAUAGAAAUGACUUGGUUG
This 760-nucleotide ribosomal RNA is filed under the name Triticum aestivum (bread wheat). RNAcentral's name for it is "partial small subunit ribosomal RNA". Lineage: Eukaryota; Viridiplantae; Streptophyta; Magnoliopsida; Poales; Poaceae. The record is from RNAcentral.